UACGGGGGGGGUAAGCGUUGUUCGGAAUUACUGGGCGUAAAGGGCUCGUAGGCGGCCAACUAAGUCAGACGUGAAAUCCCUCAGCUUAACUGGGGAACUGCGUCUGAUACUGGAUGGCUUGGAUCCGGGAGAGGGAUGCGGAAUUCCAGGUGUAGCGGUGAAAUGCGUAGAUAUCUGGAGGAAUACCGGUGGCGAAGGCGGCAUCCUGGACCGAGAUUGACGCUGAGGAGCGAAAGCUAGGGGAGCAAACGGG
This 253-nucleotide ribosomal RNA is filed under the name uncultured bacterium. Its description in RNAcentral is "partial 16S ribosomal RNA". It matches the Rfam family "Bacterial small subunit ribosomal RNA", at positions 524 to 776 of the family's 1533-position model. The record is from RNAcentral.